UACUCAGUAUUACAGCUGUUAGAGCAUUCCGCUACAUGCGGAAGAGUCCUGGGUUCGAAUCCCAGCUGAGUCACCA
This 76-nucleotide transfer RNA is filed under the name Bacteroidales bacterium 6E. RNAcentral's name for it is "tRNA-Cys". It matches the Rfam family "tRNA". Rfam says of the family: Transfer RNA (tRNA) molecules are approximately 80 nucleotides in length. Their secondary structure includes four short double-helical elements and three loops (D, anti-codon, and T loops). The record is from RNAcentral. Lineage: Bacteria; Pseudomonadati; Bacteroidota; Bacteroidia; Bacteroidales.